GAAGACGUGGCUUUCGUCAUCUCCUACACUUUAGUAUUCUUUUGACAAACGGCAAGAAAGCCUCCCACUUAAAUUUCACACCAAUCUGACCUAGAAAACAGGAUCCGUUCAUUUUCAAGUGUCCUAUGGAGCUUAGUCAUGAUCUCUUCCUCAUAAGUCUGCAGCGAACGGCGUCUCCCCCAGAGGAAUGUUGGCCUUCCAUUCACUUCUUUGCAGAGGAGUCACUCGUUUCCGAGUGUGGGUCCGCCGGAGCUGACCAUCUUACCCAGAGUUCCGCUGUUUGGUGCUGAUCUCUCUCCCUCGUGAGUCUGCAACGAAAUGCAAUAGCAUCUCCUCCACUGAAAUGUUGAGCGUCCAUUCAGACUUACUUGCAGAGAGGUAAGGACAGGAGAACCAGCCACAGCGCCUCUCAGCAUAUUCCCCAGGACCCGCCUCGGUGGAUUCCUUCGUCAAUGCCCCGAUGACUUCGAAGCCAGGCUCCGACAUUCUUCGUGGAAACCGAGUAUAAGCCUUCGUUGCUCCUCGUCGCGUUUGGAGAGGA
Molecule: long non-coding RNA, 541 nt
Organism: Macrobrachium nipponense
Lineage: Eukaryota; Metazoa; Arthropoda; Malacostraca; Decapoda; Palaemonidae
Exons: 4
Source: RefSeq, a predicted model, not a curated record